Molecule: long non-coding RNA, 1273 nt
Organism: Cyprinus carpio (common carp)
Lineage: Eukaryota; Metazoa; Chordata; Actinopteri; Cypriniformes; Cyprinidae
Source: Ensembl
CAGUUUUGCGAAAGAACAUAAAAGCAUUGAAAUAUAAUUUUAACUGUCAUCUCAUAUUUUUCCAUUACUAUGUAAAUUUAGUGUCUAUGUUAUACAGAAAUAUAAUGAAAAAUCAGCGCGUAUUUUUUUUUUUUUUACUUGUUGUUACACAAACACAAAGUAUUGCCUUUGAGUCAGUGGCAUCUCGCACCCAUAAAAUUAUUUUAUAUCUAUUUUUUUCCCCCAACAACACAUAGAAUUACAAAAUUACACAAAGUACAAUAAAGUAACUUGGCACCUUAUCUCACAGUUUUAAUAUUUUUCUCGUAUCGUGAAAUAUAAACACUGAAUUGUGAGAAAAAAGUCAGAAUUGUGAGAUAAAAAGUCACAAUUAUCUUUAUAUAUUUAUUUUUCAUUUCAUGUCAGAAACAAAUUAUUAUCAGAAUUACAAAUUAUUGAUUUUUUUUUUGUAAUAAAGUAAUAGAUCCAGACACUACAGAUCUCAGACUGAUGACUAACGAGUGUGUUUUUGGUUUCUAGAGCGCGUUUAAGUCUCAAGGCACCCGUCUGAUCCCAGACGACCCGACUGAACAAGCGCUCGUCUACCAGCGAAUGUUUGAGACCAACAACCUGCAGCAGAAAAUGUGUAAGUGCCCUAAACAGUCAACACACUUCAACUCUAAAAACAUACAAGCGUCCAGCUUCAACUGCUGCUUCUCGUGUCAAAUCUUGACUGAUUUCUAUGAAGUAGAGGUCAGAAUAAGUAAAAAUAAAUAACUCUUCCGAGAUCCUUCGCUGAAUCAAGCUGUCACGUUCUUCUUCUGAGGUAAAUUCAAGGUUGACUGACUUCAUUAAAAAAAAAAACACUUCAAGCUUUCUUUAUAUAAUUCUCAUGUCUGUGUGUCAAGUAUUCGCUGAUUCAUUUUUAUUUUUGUGGCAUGUUUCAGAAGAAAAUUCACGGAGACCGAGACGGCAGAAAGUGCACCGUUUUUCUUUAUUUUACAAAAGCACGAAGUUUUGUUGAUAUUGCGAAUGCAUACAAAUUAAUGUAGACCUUUUACAGUUUCAAAAAAGUAUCUCUGUUAUCUGUACGAUAAAAAAUAAUGAAAAUUUUAAGUUCUUUUUGCAGUUAUCAGGAAAAAUACAAGUGAUGUUCAAUUUGCUGUUUUGAUGUCAUUUUUCAGUCAAUUUUAAAAUAACGAAAGAACAGUUUUUUGUUUGUUAAAUAACUUGAAAAGUAAAGUAAACUUGAAAGUAUUUAGUAAUCUGACUCUUUUUUUUUUUUUUUUUUUUU